GGAAUCUUGCGCAAUGGGCGAAAGCCUGACGCAGCGACGCCGCGUGAGGGAUGAAGGCCUUCGGGUUGUAAACCUCUGUCAGGGGGGAAGAACCCGGAGUCGGUGAAUAACCGGCCCCGCUGACGGUACCCCCAGAGGACGCACCGGCUAACUCCGUGCCAGCAGCCGCGGUAAGACGGAGGGUGCGACCGUUGUUCGGCCUCACUGGGCGUAAAGGGCGCGUAGGCGGACUUGUAAGUCGGGAGUGAAAACUCGGGGCUCAACCCCGAGCCUGCUGCCGAAACUGCGAGUCUUGAGGACCGGAGAGGAAAGUGGAAUUCCUAGUGUAGCGGUGGAAUGCGUAGAUAUUAGGAAGAACACCAGUGGCGAAGGCGACUUUCUGGACGGUUCCUGACGCUGAGGCGCGAAAGCUAGGGGAGCAAAC
RNAcentral lists this ribosomal RNA (424 nucleotides) under uncultured bacterium. Its description in RNAcentral is "bacterial SSU rRNA". It matches the Rfam family "Bacterial small subunit ribosomal RNA", at positions 358 to 773 of the family's 1533-position model. The record is from RNAcentral.